Molecule: transfer RNA, 74 nt
Filed under: Nocardia otitidiscaviarum
Lineage: Bacteria; Bacillati; Actinomycetota; Actinomycetes; Mycobacteriales; Nocardiaceae
Description: tRNA-Asp
Rfam family: tRNA
About the family: Transfer RNA (tRNA) molecules are approximately 80 nucleotides in length.
Source: RNAcentral
CGAUCCGUAGCUCAAUUGGUGAAAGCACCGCCCUGUCACGGCGGAAGAUGCGGGUUCGAAUCCCGUCGGAUCGA